AAUAUCAAACUUAUGUUGAUAAAAGAUCAAAACAAGAAAGGAUUAUUUUAUAAAAUACCCCACCAAUAACAACCAAUAGCUAUAUAGGAAAGAAGAAAAGAAAUGAAAUUGAAUAAUGGGAUGCCCUCAACAAACCACAUUCUUCCAAAUCCCAUUCACGAGAACAUAACUUGUGGCUCUUCUUUCUCCUCCUUUCUCUUUCAAUAACUCAUAUAUAAAUACACACACACAUACAUGUAUAUCAAAAUCUCCAACCUCUCAUAUUCACAUACAAACACAAACAAUAACAAACCAAAGUUUUCGAGCUACACUCACACAAUGGAGAUGGCUCAAAAGGUGACGGUGAUGGUGGUGCUGAUACUAGUUGGCUUAGCAGGAAUAUCGAUAGCGAUGGAAGUUUGCGGCGUCGACGAGGAUGGUCUCACAGCAUGCAAGCCGUGGGUAACGAAACCGUGCCCUGCCGAGAUGCCACCGGCCGCUUGUUGCAAUAAACUCUCCAAUGCAGACUUUGAUUGCUUUUGCAAAUAUAAGAACUCAAUGUUGCUAUCCUCAUUUGGGAUUGAUUCUGACCUUGCUCUUGCCUUGCCAGUCAAGUGCAACAUUCCUAACACUCCCACUUGCUCUACUUAAACCUUAAGGAAAAUAAAUAUUUAUGAGUGUGUAGGUGAAAGUACAAUGGUGGAGAAGACCAUAAUGUAUUGGGUCUCACUUAUCUUAAUGUUUAAUUGUAUUUCUUUUUUCUACUUAAAAGGGAAAAAAAAUGUAAUUUUCUAAUUUGAAUUUUAUUUCCAAAUGUAAUAGUAAUCCGUAAUUUAUCCACUUAAUGCUUCACUAUUCUAA
This is an RNA transcript of Cucumis sativus (cucumber), 840 nucleotides long. RefSeq lists it as uncharacterized. The record is from RefSeq and is a predicted model, not a curated record. The transcript has 2 exons. Lineage: Eukaryota; Viridiplantae; Streptophyta; Magnoliopsida; Cucurbitales; Cucurbitaceae.